Molecule: long non-coding RNA, 5177 nt
Filed under: Sus scrofa (pig)
Lineage: Eukaryota; Metazoa; Chordata; Mammalia; Artiodactyla; Suidae
Description: lncRNA (ENSSSCG00000060561.1)
Source: RNAcentral
AGUAGGCCUCGGUUGAAUCACUCAUCAUCCAUCCUCCCUGUGACUCAGAAAUGCCACUGGCCCAGCCCUGUCCCUGUGUACCCUCAAUACCUCUAGGCUCUGCUCUGAGGCUUGGCAGGACAAGACAGAGGAUGGCUGUCUUCAGAUGGUACUCAGGACCCUCAAGGGAGGCCCCUGACAUAACCAGAGCCUCCUGCUGCACCCUUGCCCUGGCUCCUGGGCCCCAGGGAAUGCUUCUUUAACAGUGAGCCUCCCUUCUGAUCAAAGCCAGCCCCUCAUGGUUGUAGGGUGGGGCAGGAGGGAACUGGAGCUGUGCUUGCCCUGGAGACUGGCUUGUCAUCAGACUCAGGACCAUCCAGCAUUGAGGUGAGUUCCUCAAGUUCAGAGUUGAAGCCCUCCUAUCACUCCCCUCAGCAGUGGGCACAGUGAACACCAGACUGGGAGUCAGAGGCCUGGGUUCAUGUCCUGGCCCCCUUUCUCACCAACUGGCUUCACGAUGGGAUCCUUACAGGGAGGUGCUUAGCAGGUGAUUCCCACUGACAGGCUGCUGCCCUCUGGGCUCUGUUGCUUCCUUGUUCUGGGGCCUCAGGCCAGGCACCUCACCUCCCCAAGCCUCUGUUUUUGCACCCAGUGCCUGCUGGGAAGCCUUCUCAGGAUAACAGAUGUCACCUUCCCUGGAAGCUCUUCCCUACCCAUGCCACGCUGGGCUUAGAGCCACAGCCAAAGGUCACUGCAGCCCCUGGCUCCUCUCCAGGCAGGGCCCUGAGCACAUCCCUCUCUUGGAGCUGGUUUAUGGCCGAGAUGACUGCUCACGGCCAUCUCCCCAGCACAGCACAGAGCCUGGCGUGGAUGGAGUAGGCGAGCGAGAAUACUAGUCAAGAGCAGGGAUCAGACCCCGGUUCCAAUCCUAGUCUUGGCAAGUCUGAGCUGUGUGACCCUAGGUGAGGGUCUUCCCCUCCUAUGCCUCUGCGUGUUAAGUGGGAGCAGCAGCAGAGCCUAACCCUGUCGAGCUCUGGAGGCUGCAGGGGCUAAUGCGUAGCAAGUGCUUAGUGACAGUGCCUGAAACCUCCCAGGUCCUUGAGCGAUGUUAGCUGGCUCACCACAGGUGCCUCCCAGUUCCUCUCCCAAGGCUCUUCAUGCUGCCCCUGCCCCCAGGCUUCCCUCACACAUCAAGGGCCUCAGCUCCCACUCCCUUGCCCUGCCUUGGAGGAAGCUGGGUCUGUGCUGGGCAUCCUGCCAUUGUGGGUGCAGAACAAACUGCGGCCUUGUCUCAGCCCCAGCUGCCAGGGGGGCCCUCCAGCCCUCCCCAGGGGGCCCUGGGCACACAAGGACUCGUGCUCCCAAAUCAGCUCAGGGAUGCCAGAAACUCCACCAGCACACUGUUCCUGUUCAGUUGUAAAUACUUCUGGGAAAUAAUAUAAAAUUCAGUGGAGAGCUGUGGAAGGUUUUGAGCAGGCAAGGAGCAUGCAACAAUAACUUUUUUUUUUUUUUAAUAAUGGCCCUGCAGUUUAGUCUGAAUCCUACAUGGAGGAGAAAUUGAAGGGGCUUGAGACAGGAGACUGAGAGACCAGGGAAGAACUAUUGCAGUCCACCGAGCAGAUGACAGCUGGGACAGUGUCUUGGGCAUAGUGCAGAGUACCAUCAGUUGUACUCAUCUGUGGAAACAGGUUAGCCCCAAACCUUAUGGCUUAGAGCAAUGAACAUAAACUAUCUCCAUUUUCUGUGGAUCAGACAUUUGGGAGCGGCUGAGUGGAAUGGUUCUGGCUUGGGGUCUCUCAUGAAGUUGUAGUCAAAUGUCAGCCGGGGCUGCAGUUGUACAAAGGCUUGACGGGGCUGGCAGGUCUCCUUCCAAGCUGAGUCAUCCACAUGGCUGAUAGCAGGAGGCUGCAGCUCCUUGCAGUGUGGGCCUUUCCACAGGGCCCCUUGAGUGUCCUCAUGACAUGGCAGUUGGUUUCCACCAGAGUGAGUGAUUCAAGAGAGCAAGAAGUCACAAUGGGCUUUUGGAUCCCGUUUCACAAGUCACACUCCUUUCGCUAAUAUCUUCAUUAUUUAAUUUGAAUGAUUGUCACUUCUCUAAUGUCUUAUUGGUCCCAAGUCAACCCUAUUCAGUGUGUGUCCUCCCACCUUGACGACCAAGGGCAGGAACCAGGAGAGGAUGGUGAGGUCACCCCUGAGGCUGGCUACCAUAUCAGUGAAUGCUUGUGGAGUCAGUGAGGAGGAUGCAGUCUGGGGCCGUGGGGAAGUAGUUCAGGAGCUUCCUGCUCCAGGGGGCAUCUUGUCAGCCACACUUCUGCAUCUCUCCUGACACAGCACCAUAGAUUCCUGGCCCAUAGCAGGCACUUGGCAAGUGCUUCUCUCAGUGAGGGCUGGAGGUUCCUCUCUCUGCUCCCAACUGCAGACAAGGAGAAGACCUGGGCUCCUCGGUCUGGUAGGUGAAGCUGUGGAUCGCUAGUGUUUCCAUGCCCACUCCCCAUGACCCUUCCAGCUCUAUCAGCCACCUCUGCUCCCUGGGAGUCUGAUGGAACCUUCCUAUAUCUAGGCCUCCUGCCCCCUCCUUACUGCCAUGAUACUCAAGUGCCCCUCCUGCCUUCUCUAAACACUGCCAGGAUCCCAGCUGGAUAGAUUCUGGCCCAGCAGUACCUGCUACCUGGGCUGGGCACUUCUCUUUCUAUGUUUUUCUUUUUUAGGGCUUCACCUGUGGCAUAUGGAAGUUCCCAGGCUAUGGUCGAAUCAGAGCUGUGGCUGCCAGCCUACACCACAUCUACAGCCAUGCAGGAUCCAAGCCAUGUCUGUGAUCUACACCAUAGCUCAUGGCAAUGCUGGAUCCUUAACCCACUUAAGCGGGGCCAGGGAUCAAAACCACAACUUCAUAGAUACUAGUCAGGUUCGUUACUGCUGGGCCACAAUGGGAACUUCUCUCUUUCUAUGUUUAAACUUUUUUUUUUUGGUGAAAGAAGCCUUGUCUCUGCUUCUCAUGCUGGAGCCCAAUAUCAAAUAAGCCAAAGCUGAUUUGCCCCAGAUGAACCAGGAGCCCCUCACACCUCUUCCAAGUUUUCCAAGAACCCUGUUUUGAAAACCAUAGAUUUAGCUCAUUCCUUAUACAGAAAUCCCCCAAAGGAAGAACCAAGAUGAUGGUCUUAGUCCAUUUGGGCUGCUAUGACAAAAUGCCACAGACUAGGUGUCUUAUAAACCAUGGAAAAUUACUGCUCACCAUUCUGGAGGCUGGAAGUCUGAGAUCAGGGUGCCAGCAUGGUCUGGCAAGGGUCCCCUUGUGGGUUACAGGCUUCAUUGAUAAGGGCACUAAUCCCAUUCAUGAGGGCUCCAUUCUUGUGAUCUCAUCACCUAAUUACCUCCCAAAGUACCACCUCCGAAUGCUAUCACCUUGGUCAUUAAGUUUUCAACAUAGGAAGUUUAGGGAGACACAAUAUUCAGACCAUAGCAACCACCCUGCAUAAAGAGGGGGCAGCAGGGCUGGGUCUUCGUCUCCUAAUUCUUGGGGUUCUGCCGUUCCCUACCCCAUCCCCCACUCUGAUGUGAAGAACAGAGCCAGGGUGUAAAGUUUACAGGGAUAUGUGGGGUCCAGUGUAGGUUCACAGGAAGUAUCUGCUGGGUACCCCGACCCCCCAGGUCAGCACAUUUGUUUCUUCAUGGGAAAGGAAUUCAGAUAUUUUGCCAAAAGUAGUCUAGAAAGAUUUGUCUCAAGAGUCUUUUAUGUGUGUCUGAAGCUUUCCGCUUUUGAGUGCUCUUGGCUCCUAUAAGAGAGAGUAGGAUGGUGUGGUAGGAUGGAGAAGCAAGCACUAAGAUGGAAUUAAAAGCACAAAGAUUUUAUGAGGGCAAACAUAUGUGGAAAUGGGAAGGGGGCUGGGAGAGCUGUCAGAUCAUUAUCCAAGUGGAGGAGAACGAGGGGAGGAAGUUUGGGGGAACCAUUCUUGACCUCACAGCUGUCUAAGGAAGGUUCGGCAAGGAAGCCAAUCAGAAGAGUCCCAGGUCUGCCAGGACUGGCCUCCCCCAGGAUCCCUGCUAUGCUGGGGCAUUAGCCAGAUAGAGUCUGAUGCAGUCUAGUCUCAGCACAGAUGUGGUGAUGGAUUUCAGGGUGUCACAGUGGGGCCCUUGUUCUGUAUUGCUUCCUGUAAUUGGACGUCUGUGGGCCCUGUUCUUACGGCCACCACGGAUGGCAUUGUGACUCCCAUUUUACAGAGUAGGCAGAAUUCCAGAACAACUCUGGGCUCUGCCUGAAGUCACAAAGCAGGAGAGUCCACACUCCUUAACUCUCAUCCCAAGCUUCUUCCUAAGUGACAUGGGGCCUCAGUCCAGUGGUUAUUAGGCUGAUGGAUUCCAGGUAGGUGAGCAGGGCUGUGAGCUGUGAGCUUCCAGGUAGGUGAGCAGGACAAGAGCGACUUGUCCCUAAAUUUGUAACAAGAUCACCAUCCCAACAGAGGUCACUCAGGGAAACCCUCAGGGCCACCGGGUGUGUCUACUUCUCUGGCAGGGUAGUAUGAAUGUCACAAAAACUUCUCACACCAAAUUUAAUUGACUUUAAUUCAUCAUAAAGAAAGGAAGUGAUCCCAUACUUUUGGAAGAAGAGAAUUAAAGGUUCAUGGAAUCAGAGGCUUGGAAUCCUGCUCCAAGUUAAGGAUUAGGCUGUGAGGGCCAUUUCAUUCUCCCCUCUUAUGGGAGUGCACUGAAAUUCCAACAUGACCUCUUUUCCUAGGUUGUCUGACUUAAGGACCACUCUACUCUGAAUCUGGGGGAACAGAGUAGACUGUUUGGGAAAAGGACUUGGACCCUCUCAAGAGCUCUCAACCUCAACUUCUAUUUAAGAUGUGAAAUCCUGGUCCUUCCACACCCAAUUCUGAAUAUUAAAAGCAUAAUUUAAAAGGAUCCAAAAUUUUCUCAACUACAAAAAAAAAAAAAUGCAAAGAAAGAUGGAAAUAGGAGUUCCCAUCAUGGCUCAGUGGGUAAUGAACCUGACCAGUAACCAUGAGGUUAUGGGUUCGAUCCCUGGCUUUGCUCAGCGGGUCAAGGAUCCAGCGUUGCCAUGAGCUGUGGUGUAGGUCACAGACUUGGCUUGGAUCCCGCAUUGCUGUGGCUGUGGCAUAGGCUGGCAGCUACAGCUCUGAUAUGACCCCUAGCCUGGGAACCUCCAUAUGCCACAGGUACAGCCCUAAAAAGACAAA